AUUGAACGCUGGCGGCAGGCCUAACACAUGCAAGUCGAACGGUAACAGGAAGAAGCUUGCUUCUUUGCUGACGAGUGGCGGGCGGGUGAGUAAUGUCUGGGAAACUGCCUGAUGGAGGGGGAUAACUACUGGAAACGGUAGCUAAUACCGCAUAACGUCGCAAGACCAAAAAGGGGGACCUUCGGGCCCCUUGCCAUCGGAUGUGCCCAGAUGGGAUUAGCUAGUAGGUGGGGUAACGGCUCACCUAGGCGACGAUCCCUAGCUGGUCUGAGAGGAUGACCAGCCACACUGGAACUGAGACACGGUCCAGACUCCUACGGGAGGCAGCAGUGGGGAAUAUUGGACAAUGGGCGCAAGCCUGAUGCAGCCAUGCCGCGUGUAUGAAGAAGGCCUUCGGGUUGUAAAGUACUUUCGGCGGGGAGGAAGGGAGUAAAGUUAAUACCUCGGCUCAUUGACGUUACCCGCAGAAGAAGCACCGGCUAACUCCGUG
Molecule: ribosomal RNA, 490 nt
Filed under: uncultured bacterium
Lineage: Bacteria
Description: partial 16S ribosomal RNA
Rfam family: Bacterial small subunit ribosomal RNA
Source: RNAcentral